CAGCAGCCGCGGUAAUACGUAGGUGGCGAGCGUUACUCGGAAUUACUAGGCGUAAAGCGCGUGUAGGCGGGAGCUUAAGUCCGCUGUUAAAUCUCACAGCCUAACUGUGAAAUGCCGGCGGAUACUGGGUUUCUUGAAUUCGGUAGAGGUAACUGGAAUUCCAGGUGUAGCGGUGAAAUGCGUAGAUAUCUGGAAGAACCAAAGGCGAAGGCAGGUUACUGGGCCGCAAUUGACGCUGAGACGCGAAAGCUAGGGGAGCAAACAGGAUUAGAUACCCUGGUAGUCCUAGCCGUAAACGAUGUAGACCAGGUGUGGGAGGUAUCGACCCCUUCCGUGCCG
Molecule: ribosomal RNA, 339 nt
Filed under: uncultured bacterium
Lineage: Bacteria
Description: bacterial SSU rRNA
Rfam family: Bacterial small subunit ribosomal RNA
Source: RNAcentral